CAGCCGCCACGGUAAUACGGAGGGCGCGAGCGUUACCCGGAUUUACUGGGCGUAAAGGGCGUGUAGGCGGCCUGGGGCGUCCCAUGUGAAAGGCCACGGCUCAACCGUGGAGGAGCGUGGGAUACGCUCAGGCUAGAGGGUGGGAGAGGGUGGUGGAAUUCCCGGAGUAGCGGUGAAAUGCGCAGAUACCGGGAGGAACGCCGAUGGCGAAGGCAGCCACCUGGUCCACUUCUGACGCUGAGGCGCGAAAGCGUGGGGAGCAAACCGGAUUAGAGACCCCUGUAGUCCCUGUCUCUUAUAC
RNAcentral lists this ribosomal RNA (301 nucleotides) under uncultured bacterium. Its description in RNAcentral is "partial 16S ribosomal RNA". It matches the Rfam family "Bacterial small subunit ribosomal RNA", at positions 509 to 807 of the family's 1533-position model. The record is from RNAcentral.